GAAGAAUCACAGACAAAGACAGUUAUUAACUGGUAUAUUUAAUAUAGUUAAACACCAUUGAGAGGACUAUAGCUAAUAUCACUUCUUGUCUCUUGAUCGUAGGUAGUGGCAGUUUUCAUACCUCGACAGGCUCAACAUGCAUCUGUCAGCAGCACUGGAAUUGUCACCACAGGACUGCAAUGAAAACCUUUAAAUGAGGUGUGCAAAGAAAAGGACUGGCCUAACUGGCUGCAGUCAGCGUGUCCCCGGAACUGAUCGUGGCGGUGAUAGAACCGUGUCUGGGCCCACAAUCACCUGAUCAGCUGCGACCCAACAGGAAACAAAAUGUGUCACUGAGACUUACCAGAGUAAAUGCAGCAGAGUGCAGCAAGGAGUGCACCCCACUGAGUUCACUCUCGG
This 399-nucleotide long non-coding RNA is filed under the name Parus major (Great Tit). RNAcentral describes it as "lncRNA (ENSPMJG00000000203.1)". Lineage: Eukaryota; Metazoa; Chordata; Aves; Passeriformes; Paridae. The record is from RNAcentral.